This 683-nucleotide ribosomal RNA is filed under the name Tsukamurella tyrosinosolvens. RNAcentral's name for it is "bacterial SSU rRNA". It matches the Rfam family "Bacterial small subunit ribosomal RNA", at positions 75 to 774 of the family's 1533-position model. The record is from RNAcentral. Lineage: Bacteria; Bacillati; Actinomycetota; Actinomycetes; Mycobacteriales; Tsukamurellaceae.
GCCCUUCGGGGUACACGAGUGGCGAACGGGUGAGUAACACGUGGGUGACCUGCCCUGUACUUCGGGAUAAGCCUGGGAAACUGGGUCUAAUACCGGAUAUGACCUUCUCCUGCAUGGGGGUUGGUGGAAAGCUUUUGCGGUACAGGAUGGGCCCGCGGCCUAUCAGCUUGUUGGUGGGGUAAUGGCCUACCAAGGCGACGACGGGUAGCCGGCCUGAGAGGGCGACCGGCCACACUGGGACUGAGACACGGCCCAGACUCCUACGGGAGGCAGCAGUGGGGAAUAUUGCACAAUGGGCGGAAGCCUGAUGCAGCGACGCCGCGUGAGGGAUGACGGCCUUCGGGUUGUAAACCUCUUUCAGUAGGGACGAAGCGCAAGUGACGGUACCUACAGAAGAAGCACCGGCCAACUACGUGCCAGCAGCCGCGGUAAUACGUAGGGUGCGAGCGUUGUCCGGAUUUACUGGGCGUAAAGAGCUCGUAGGCGGUUUGUCACGUCGUCUGUGAAAACCCGAGGCUUAACCUCGGGCCUGCAGGCGAUACGGGCAGACUUGAGUACUGUAGGGGAGACUGGAAUUCCUGGUGUAGCGGUGGAAUGCGCAGAUAUCAGGAGGAACACCGGUGGCGAAGGCGGGUCUCUGGGCAGUAACUGACGCUGAGGAGCGAAAGCGUGGGUAGCGAACA